UUGGGAUCAGUGAUGUGAAUUAGAAACUGCGUUAUCUAUCUGUAACUUCCUUGUUGGAAUUGAAGAUGUCUACAAACAAAACCUGAGAUCCCAU
Molecule: small nucleolar RNA, 94 nt
Filed under: Jatropha curcas
Lineage: Eukaryota; Viridiplantae; Streptophyta; Magnoliopsida; Malpighiales; Euphorbiaceae
Description: Small nucleolar RNA snoR27
Rfam family: Small nucleolar RNA snoR27
Source: Rfam by way of RNAcentral